This 263-nucleotide ribosomal RNA is filed under the name uncultured bacterium. Its description in RNAcentral is "partial 16S ribosomal RNA". It matches the Rfam family "Bacterial small subunit ribosomal RNA", at positions 524 to 790 of the family's 1533-position model. The record is from RNAcentral.
UACGUAGGGCGCAAGCGUUGUCCGGAAUCAUUGGGCGUAAAGAGCUCGUAGGCGGCCUGUUACGUCCGCUGUGAAAUCCCGGGGCUUAACCCCGGGCGUGCAGUGGAUACGGGCAGACUAGAGGUAGGUAGGGGAGAAUGGAAUUCCCGGUGUAGCGGUGAAAUGCGCAGAUAUCGGGAGGAACACCGGUGGCGAAGGCGGUUCUCUGGGCCUUACCUGACGCUGAGGAGCGAAGCAUGGGGAGCGAACAGGAUAGAACCCGU